Molecule: non-coding RNA, 2744 nt
Organism: Odocoileus virginianus texanus
Lineage: Eukaryota; Metazoa; Chordata; Mammalia; Artiodactyla; Cervidae
Source: RefSeq, a predicted model, not a curated record
GGGAAGAUUAGUGCAGUGAUAGAUAGCCUUUUCAAAUUAUGUCAUAAGAGCAUGAAAUAAUUAUGAUGGUGAGAUUCUGGAAUAACAAUUUUCAACGUACCCUACAAAGAACCAUACAGUUUUGCUGUCUACUCACUUUGGAGACAUCCAGAAAGGUUUCCUCCUUGGUUUGGAAGUCCCCACAUAAUCUGGAACAGACUCACUCCAAUUCCCUCAAGUGAUGGAAUUUUAUUUUAAGAAUGAAUGUGCAAAAGAGGAGACAGGAGUCUCAGCCACUCUGCUGACCAGGUAUCAUGCCUAUCCUAUGGACCGUCUUAAGCAAGAGCUAAAACUGUUACGCAUUUGGGCACCAGAAAAAAAAUUUAGAAGCAAAUGUCAUAUCAAAGUGGGAAUCUUCAUUCUGUUCUUUGUUAAUACCCAUAACCUAACUAAAUCUGAAUUUCAAAGAAGAGAAUCUUAUCAAUAUCCAGGAUAAGAAUCAAGCUACCCAAAAGGGGAAAGAGGAAAAGUUCAAGUAGCUCCAGAUUCUUCCACAGCAACAUUCACUACAGAGGACAGAGGAGUAGCCUCGUUACCCAGAAGUGUGGUGCAUGAACCAGCAGCAUUGGCAUUUGGGGGAAGCUUAUUAGAGAUGCAGGAUUUCAGUUGCCAUUCCAUAGCUGUUGAAUCAGAAUCUGUGCUUGACCAGAUUUUCGGGUUACUCCUAGGCUGCUUCUUUGAACUUUGCUUGCAAUUUUCUUUGGUCCUUUGUUUUUCUUUUUCCUAAGAAAGCCUAUUUAUGUAAUUUUUUUUUUAAUUGGAAGUAUUUGUUUGCAAAUUAGAACCACUUGAGGAAUUUCUUAAAAACCUCUGUUUCAUGAAUCAUAUGCUCAGAGAACUUGAUGGAAUUGGUCCGAGAGGAUGACCAGAAGCCAACAGUUUUUCAGAAACUGCCCAGGUCAUUACAAAACGCAACUCAGACUGAAAAUCAUUGAAUCAAGGGAAACCAAAUCCAUGAACCCCUUUUCCAGCAAAAAAUUACUGAAAGAUCGACACUUAGAGAACAGAGAAAUGAAUCAAAAGAAAGAGUUCAGAAAUGAAGACGCUGCGGUGAAAUAAUUAUUGAGGGGUUCACACAAGUGAUGGUUGCUCCUGGUCCCUCCUUUGGUCACAUCAUCCCUGGCAAGCUCUUCUUCAGCUGAAAGACUUGGCAAUGAGAAUGGUGACUUAGCUUACCAGUCUGCUCUGGGUUUCUAAAAGAGUGCCAGAAGUAUGGACUAGAAGACUAGGGAAAAGCUUGUGAUACUAGAUUAGAGUUAGAAGGAUCAGUGUGAACUCAUGAUGGCAUUUAUGUAAACUGCACAGCUCCUGCCUCUGAGGCCCUGCCUUGCAGAUUCCAGUGCUUCAGCUGCCCGAGGCCCCGUCUCCUCCUCCUCAACUCAGAGGGACUGCUGCUCUCAGCUUAGAUUCCUGAGCGCUACACUGCAAGCAGGUGAAUUUCCCCAGGCAGACAGCCGGGAGUCAUGAGGCUCCCCUCUUAGGUUUCCCAGCCUUCAGGGAUUGAUUCUCUGCCCGCUCUGCCCUGUGUUGUUGCUUCUCCAAUAUCUGAAAACACUUGCUUAGACUUUUUGUCUAAUUUUAUAGUUAAGGUGAGAAGGUUAGUACCAGAUCCCCCAUCACAGACAAAAGCAGAAAUGCUGAAAUAUAUGGCAUUUGAUGAUAGUAUUGUAUUUAUGUAAAAUUUCCUGGAAUUGAUCACUGUAGUGUGGCUAUGAAAGAACUCCUUAUUCUUGGGAUAUACAUGUGGAAGUAUUUGGGACAAAGCUGUCUACAACUUACUCUGAAACGGUUUAGUCAAAACAAUAACAAUGCAAAUAAUAUUAAUACCAGAUUUGUAGAGGAAGUGAGAGAGACUGAUAAAGCAUGUAUGGAAGAUGCUCUCGGGGAGAAACUAGACGAAGAUAUAUGGGAAUUCAUCACACUAUUUUUGUUAACUUUUCUGGAAGUUUGAAGUGUUUUCAAAAUAAAUAGUAAACAAAACAUGCCGCUUGAGUGUAGACUGGGAUCAGGCUUCACAUCCCAAGUUAGUAUAGAAAGAAAAAGUAGAAAUUUAUAGUGAAGAACCCUGGGAAGUACCACCUUCACUCAGAGAUCAGGGUCGACAUCACCACCUGUAAGUCAUGUGGACAUCAAGUACCCACUGACAGUAUGUGAUGAGCAGAUUUUCUUAACUCAAAAUUCACAACCCAAAUUAAGAACUAAAGGGGAUGCUUAAAUACAUGUUCCCUUAAAUACAUUUUCAAAUAGAUAAAUAUUAGCCAUAUCAUUUAUGUCUACCUAAUUUAAAUAGCAUCUGUCUCUAGAGAAAUAAGGAUGAUAUAUCUGUAUUUAUCAACCCCAUCCUAGUUCUAGAGUCCUGAGAAAUUCAUGACAUUGAGAAAUUAGGUGCUCUGACCACAGUCCUCCUACCCAGUCCCACUCAGCAGAUUGGUAGUUUGGAUCUCCCUCACUGUGAGACCUCUGUGUUACCUGUCGAUGAAGGCCUACCUUCUUACAGCUGACCUGGCUUGCACCCAGAUUGUCCAGUUUCAAAGGACUGGAUGUCAAGCUGUUGAGCUGGCUUGUCAUGUCAGUAAACUCUCCACCUGCCUGUGGAGACUAGGACUCCUUUCCUGGAAAGUUGGCUGUGGUAAGGACCGAGAUGCACUGGCUCUCCUCACAGGAUUUAGCAUCAGCCUGCAAAACAUCUGGAAGUUUAAUACUCA